This 406-nucleotide ribosomal RNA is filed under the name Dichoglena nigrina. Its description in RNAcentral is "partial 16S ribosomal RNA". It matches the Rfam family "Bacterial large subunit ribosomal RNA", at positions 1925 to 2541 of the family's 2925-position model. The record is from RNAcentral. Lineage: Eukaryota; Metazoa; Arthropoda; Insecta; Diptera; Therevidae.
AAAUGGCCGCAGUAUUUUAACUGUGCAAAGGUAGCAUAAUCAUUAGUCUUUUAAUUGAGGGCUUGUAUGAAUGGUUGGACGAAAUAUUAACUGUUUCAUAAAUAUUGAUAUAGAAUUUUAUUUUUUAGUUAAAAAGCUAAAAUUUUUUUAAAAGACGAGAAGACCCUAUAGAUCUUUAUAUUUUAUGUUUUGUGGUUAUUUAGAUUAUUUAAAUUAUAAAUAGAUAAAUUAUUUUGUUGGGGUGACAUUAAAAUUUGAUUAACUUUUAAUUAGUUAUUACAUUAAUUUAUGAGUAUUUGAUCCAUUAAUAGUGAUUAGAAAAUUAAGUUACCUUAGGGAUAACAGCGUAAUUUUUUUGAAGAGUUCAUAUCGAUAAAAAAGAUUGCGACCUCGAUGUUGGAUUAAG